CUGAAGGGCAUCCUUCCUGCAGCUUGGCUGCACCACUUCUCCAACAACCUGGCCUGCCGCAUGAGUCCCAACUACCACCCCAACCCCCAGACUUCAAGCUCCACCAAGAGACUCUUGGGAGUGACGGGGUGGGUGAUGAAGAGGGAUUUAGGGAAUAAAAAGUGAUUGUGGAGAAAAACUGAAUGAGCUAGUUACAGAACCUCAGUCUCCUGGCUCUGCCUUGGAGGCGGGUUCGUGUGCAGUGACUUGAUUGCCAAUAAGAGGUAAGGGGCUAGCCAGGAUCUGUGUAGUUUACCUUACAGGGCAUAGAACUGAGGCUGUACAAAACAUACUUUUACACAAGUCUUACAUGAAUUUCAGACAACUACAUGUGAGCUUGUAAUGCCCAAGCACAGACAUGCUUUGUGUGCAAAUGCACAUGUUCAUCUUCAUUGGCAAACACUUCGAGUGUAAGUAUAUAAUGCCAGGCAGGAGGAUGCAUCUAUACACUGGAAAAUUGCAGUUAUAGGUAAAGUUGCACUCUCAGACAACUCUAUGGAGAUGCCUGUGUAGGGUUCUCUGAGACCAUGUUUUGCAUAUUUGCAAAACUUUCGAAGUUGCAAGAAUGUGUGUACAUGCUGCACACGCACAGAUGCCCUCAAAUGAGGAACGGACCAUCAACCCAAAGACGCGCGUGCGCGAGUGUUCACACAGACGUGUGUGUGCUCUAGCGCCUGCACAAGGCCAGCGCCCAGGCACACUGACGCCCGCACGCGUACACAUAAGCAUGUUUUACUGACGCAUCUGGGGCACUUUCUUUCAAAGAAAGGAGGGAAUGAAGAUCUAAUCUGGGAGUCACCGGGGUUCAUCGGGAGGUUGCCCAACGGGUAGGGAAAAAAAAUGUAACAGCACUUGAGCGUUUGUCCGUGGUACAUCUCUGUGCCCAAGCUGGAAGGAUGCAAUGCGUUUCCUAGAACUCGAGGGGCUGGCUCCCUUCGGAGCUGCGGGGCGGGGGAGGAGCACUCGGUUACUCUUUGCCGCGGGCUUCCCCAGAAAGGUGGAAACACACCCUGCGGCUCUUCACUUCCCCCAUGUCUGUAAGCACACGCUUUCUUCGCCACCUCUCUGACCAACAGCCCACACCCACCGCCGACCGACCCCGAAUUCCCUGACAGGAUUGCCGCCGGGUGCGCCCGCGCAGGGAUGUUGCUCUUGGAGAAUGUGAAGACAGUUUGCUUCUUGACAAGCGAGCGAACGGGCGCCCAGAUUUUUGCAGCCUCUCGAGUCUCUCCCGAGGGAAAGGCAGGCAGAGAAAACGCCUGAUUUGGGAGCCACCAGGGAAGGAUUCCGCGCAGGGGGAGCCGCCCUCUUUGGCCCCAGACCGGCCUGCCGGGGACCCCCUUUGGGCACAGCCAACGGAUGACCUGAAACACUGAGGAUGGUGCUGGGGGUUGGGGUGGGGAAAGCCUUUUGGAUAAUAACUGCAAAGAAGAAAG
Long non-coding RNA from Bos taurus (domestic cattle), 1475 nucleotides. Lineage: Eukaryota; Metazoa; Chordata; Mammalia; Artiodactyla; Bovidae. The record is from Ensembl.